CGAGGAAAGUCGACUUAAAGUUGUCC
Molecule: unclassified non-coding RNA, 26 nt
Filed under: Dictyostelium discoideum
Lineage: Eukaryota; Evosea; Eumycetozoa; Dictyosteliales; Dictyosteliaceae
Source: RNAcentral